UUUGAUCCUGGCUCAGAUUGAACGCUGGCGGCAUGCCUUACACAUGCAAGUCGAACGGCAGCGCGGGGCAACCUGGCGGCGAGUGGCGAACGGGUGAGUAAUAUAUCGGAACGUACCCUGGAGUGGGGGAUAACGUAGCGAAAGUUACGCUAAUACCGCAUACGAUCUAAGGAUGAAAGUGGGGGAUCGCAAGACCUCAUGCUCCUGGAGCGGCCGAUAUCUGAUUAGCUAGUUGGUGGGGUAAAGGCCUACCAAGGCAUCGAUCAGUAGCUGGUCUGAGAGGACGACCAGCCACACUGGAACUGAGACACGGUCCAGACUCCUACGGGAGGCAGCAGUGGGGAAUUUUGGACAAUGGGCGCAAGCCUGAUCCAGCAAUGCCGCGUGAGUGAAGAAGGCCUUCGGGUUGUAAAGCUCUUUUGUCAGGGAAGAAACGGCGUGUUCUAAUACAGCGGGCUAAUGACGGUACCUGAAGAAUA
Molecule: ribosomal RNA, 479 nt
Filed under: denitrifying bacterium W22a
Lineage: Bacteria; Pseudomonadati; Pseudomonadota; Betaproteobacteria
Also listed under: 4 other names
Description: bacterial SSU rRNA
Rfam family: Bacterial small subunit ribosomal RNA
Source: RNAcentral